This is a long non-coding RNA of Juglans microcarpa x Juglans regia, 176 nucleotides long. RefSeq lists it as uncharacterized. Lineage: Eukaryota; Viridiplantae; Streptophyta; Magnoliopsida; Fagales; Juglandaceae. The transcript has 3 exons. The record is from RefSeq and is a predicted model, not a curated record.
CUCUGUAUUUCGAACUGUACAUAUUCCAUAGAACUACCAUAAAGGUUUUUUAUGGAGUUCCAUUGACACACCUUGUUUGCAAAUUACUUGAGACAAGAAAUCGCAAGCAUACAAUUAGAGAGACAAAAGGGGGGGGGGGGGGGGAGGGGGUGUAUUUCUUUUGUUUUAUGGGUUUU